GAGGGGGAGCAUUUUAAAGCCAGCGCAUACUGCUAAUUUUCGUGUCCACGGUUAGAUUCCGGGGCCCCCUUA
This 72-nucleotide transfer RNA is filed under the name Thyrsites atun (snoek). RNAcentral's name for it is "tRNA-Ser". The record is from RNAcentral. Lineage: Eukaryota; Metazoa; Chordata; Actinopteri; Scombriformes; Gempylidae.